GGAGGGAAACGAAUGCAGCUGAAUUAGCUCUGCUCAAGUUCAGGAGGAUGUUGAUUGGUGAUGCCAGCGUGCAAAAGCCGAUAGGUUUUGUCGUCGGAUAGCCGCCAGCACUCUUGUGCAAGCUGGCCAACAACAGUUACCCGUGGCUGAGAAGGGAACCUUAUAGCCAUCAGUGACUGAGGAUAACAGUGCAGGCCUUUGGGCCGCUUCUGGUCGUUUCACCGCGGUAGGGGCAGUGUCUGUUGACGGCUGUCUGCUCGGACGGGAGACCGGUCACACCUUGCGCUGUAGUUGUUGGUGAUCAAAUGGCUGCAUCCGACCCGUCUUGAAACACGGACCAAGGAGUGCAACAUGCGUGCGAGUCUUUGGGUGGCAAACCCAGCGGCGCAAUGAAAGUGAAGGCAGGCCACAUCGUCAACCGAUCCCAGGUCACGCUGUGGCGGGAUUUGAGUGAGAGCGUGCCUGUUGCGACCCGAAAGAUGGUGAACUAUGCCUGAAUAGGGUGAAGCCAGAGGAAACUCUGGUGGAAGCUCGUAGCGAUUCUGACGUGCAAAUCGAUCGUCAAAUUUGGGUAUAGGGGCGAAAGACUAAUCGAACCAUCUAGUAGCUGGUUCCCUCCG
This 620-nucleotide ribosomal RNA is filed under the name Caulospongia biflabellata. RNAcentral's name for it is "eukaryotic LSU rRNA". It matches the Rfam family "Eukaryotic large subunit ribosomal RNA", at positions 411 to 963 of the family's 3401-position model. The record is from RNAcentral. Lineage: Eukaryota; Metazoa; Porifera; Demospongiae; Suberitida; Suberitidae.